UAGAUGUUGCCUGCUAGUUAAACCCCCAAAAAAAUAGAAAUAUUGUCAUACCUUGUAAAUUCAUUUAAAGGUACUGAAGUCAAUGUCGCAGUGGUGGAACUCCUGACAAAGACCAUGUUUGUCAACGAUGUCAUGAAGAUGUCUCACCUCGGACAGACCAGUGGCGUGGAAGUUUUUCACAGUGUGGUGAAUCACUUUGCCCCAAAGAUGUACUACUUCUCGUACAAAGGAAUGAAAAGCAGAAUAAUUCUUGCUGCUAUGCAUUAUAAUGAAAAUGCUGGCAGACCACAAAAAAUGACAAAGGAAGGAAUACACUCCUACUGUAUCGUUUAUCCCAAAUAUGAGUGGUGGGUAUUCUCUGAGAAAGAUACUGGUGGAUGCAACUUAUUGUAAGUUAUGAAAUAAAAAGUAAUUCCAGGCAGAUGCAUUACAUACUGAGU
Long non-coding RNA from Hippocampus comes (tiger tail seahorse), 440 nucleotides. RefSeq lists it as uncharacterized. The transcript is spliced from 2 exons. The record is from RefSeq and is a predicted model, not a curated record. Lineage: Eukaryota; Metazoa; Chordata; Actinopteri; Syngnathiformes; Syngnathidae.